UUGUAAACAACAGCAAGUGCCAUUUAUUUAUGACAUAUUAAAAGCUUUGCACACAUUAUUUCAUUUAGUUCUUCCAACAAUCAUAUCAAGUAGGUACAGUUAUCUUCCUUAUUUUAUUGAUGAAAAAAGAGUCUCAGAAGGUUAAGCAGCUUGACCAGGCACACACAGCUUCUAAGUGAGGGAUCAGAAGUCACAUCUCUCUGACUCCAAAGCAGGCAAAUUUUCAUCUUGGCAUUGAAGCAGUUUUACAGACCUAUGUUGACUUUUUUUUUUUCACCAAUUGACCAGGGAACUUCUAACUACUCAGCAUUAAACUUCCUAAAUUAUUCCAUUCCUGCUCUGUCAGACUACGGGCUCAAAGCUUUAGUUCUGGAAUCCAGUUUUCUGCCCCAGGCUCCCUGGGCCUAUGGGUCGAGAGAAGCCACCUCUUCUCUAGUCCAAAAGAGUUCCCUGACUUUGGAGUCCAGUUCUGUUUGGGUAAAACACUCUGCUGAAGAAGGGUCUAUAAGAGAUUUUACUAUGGCUAUCUUUUUGGACAUAUUAAGGGGCAAGUUCUCUAAUGACUCAUAAAGGCCAUUAACAUGGGUUUUGCAGUGAGUACUAAGACCUUCCCAUAUGAGUAUAACUGAAACCCUACACAAAUAAUGUGAUGUUUAAUUGCAUGUGCAAAUAAAAUUAUGCAAAACUCUCUAAGAGUAUAAAGUUCAAAAGACUGUAUUUUAUAAAGAAUUUUUAAUGAUAUAGGAACAUCCUUAAGCAAGUAUGUUAAGGAAAAAACAGCAGGGUGUGAAACUGUACAUAGUGUAUCAUCAUCAUUAUGUAAAUUAUCUAAAAUCGAGAGGUGGGAGCAGGGGAAGUACUUGCAGAUAAAUACACAAAAGUGCUAACAAUGGUUGCUGAUAGAUGGUGUUAUGGAGACUUUUAAUUUUCCUUUUUUAUACAUUGUGAAAUUUUCCAAAUUCUCCUUGGUGAAAAUAUUUGUCUUUGGCCUAGGGGAAAAUAAACAUUUAUGAACAACAAUGUGUUAGGUUAUAAUAUUCAAAUUUACAUAGAAGUCUAAUAUUGUAGAUUUGAUAGCAAACUUCGUGAAAGGAGAAUAAAGUUUUCAGGUUUUGCUUCUGUAUCUAUUCACCCCAUUAGACAACAUUUUGUUGACAUAAUAUUUUCUGUUUGUUCCUUUCCUUCAGAGCUGAUGCAGUUAGAGUAUUUGUGUUAAACAAGCCUACCUGAGGCCAAUUACAGCUCUCCUUCCAGCCCUGGAAGACAGGAGAAGAGAAGCAUCUCAUUUCUCUCUCAGCCCAUCUGAUACAUAUAUUCAGGCUGGGCGCAGAUGACAUCUGUCCAGACAACGCAUAAUAUUGCAAUCACUUCUGAUUAGUUUCCUAUUACCAGCACGCUGUUCACCUGUGUUACAGGAGUGGCUACUGGGGUGUGCUGGAAGGAGGGAAGAGGAGGAGAUGAAGGCAGUUAUUGUAAUUUGAGAAUCUGUGCUAUCGUUACCAAAGCCUUUUCUUCAGAAUCCAGAUCCACACAUCCUCCUUUCCUCACAUACAGACAUUCUGGGUGCAGGAUAUGCUAGGCAACCAGUCAAAUUUCCUACAUUUCAGUGGGAUGGACGGUUUGUCUUAAUUUACAUUUCUCCAGGACCUUAGGACC
Molecule: long non-coding RNA, 1656 nt
Filed under: Pongo abelii (Sumatran orangutan)
Lineage: Eukaryota; Metazoa; Chordata; Mammalia; Primates; Hominidae
Description: lincRNA
Source: RNAcentral